UCUUAUCCAGAGAGACGGAGGGACUGGCCCUUUGAUGUCUCGGCAGCGGAUCUAUAUGCACUAUAUAUAGAAACUGUGCCAAUUCCUGCAAGCAUAUUGCUUGGAAGAUA
This 110-nucleotide non-coding RNA is filed under the name Risungbinella massiliensis. RNAcentral describes it as "SAM riboswitch (S box leader)". It matches the Rfam family "SAM riboswitch aptamer (S box leader)". Rfam says of the family: The SAM riboswitch is found upstream of a number of genes which code for proteins involved in methionine or cysteine biosynthesis in Gram-positive bacteria. The SAM riboswitch acts at the level of transcription termination control. The predicted structure consists of a complex stem-loop region followed by a single stem loop terminator region. Lineage: Bacteria; Bacillati; Bacillota; Bacilli; Caryophanales; Thermoactinomycetaceae. The record is from RNAcentral.